CCAUCCCGCGUGUGCGAUGAAGGCCUUCGGGUUGUAAAGCACUUUUGGCAGGAAAGAAACGUCGCGGGUUAAUACCCCGCGAAACUGACGGUACCUGCAGAAUAAGCACCGGCUAACUACGUGCCAGCAGCCGCGGUAAUACGUAGGGUGCAAGCGUUAAUCGGAAUUACUGGGCGUAAAGCGUGCGCAGGCGGUUCGGAAAGAAAGAUGUGAAAUCCCAGAGCUUAACUUUGGAACUGCAUUUUUAACUACCGGGCUAGAGUGUGUCAGAGGGAGGUGGAAUUCCGCGUGUAGCAGUGAAAUGCGUAGAUAUGCGGAGGAACACCGAUGGCGAAGGCAGCCUCCUGGGAUAACACUGACGCUCAUGCACGAAAGCGUGGGGAGCAAACAGGAUUAGAUACCCUGGUAGUCCACGCCCUAAACGAUGUCAACUAGCUGUUGGGGCCUUCGGGCCUUGGUAGCGCAGCUAACGCGUGAAGUUGACCGCCUGGGGAGUACGGUCGCAAGAUUAAAACUCAAAGGAAUUGACGGGGACCCGCACAAGCGGUGGAUGAUGUGGAUUAAUUCGAUGCAACGCGAAAAACCUUACCUACCCUUGACAUGUCUGGAAUGCCGAAGAGAUUUGGCAGKGCUCGCAAGAGAACCGGAACACAGGUGCUGCAUGGCUGUCGUCAGCUCGUGUC
RNAcentral lists this ribosomal RNA (683 nucleotides) under Achromobacter xylosoxidans. RNAcentral's name for it is "bacterial SSU rRNA". The record is from RNAcentral. Lineage: Bacteria; Pseudomonadati; Pseudomonadota; Betaproteobacteria; Burkholderiales; Alcaligenaceae.